ACUUUAAUUGAAGAGUUUGAUCAUGGCUCAGAUUGAACGCUGGCGGCAGGCCUAACACAUGCAAGUCGAGCGGAAACGACUUAACUGAACCUUCGGGG
This 98-nucleotide ribosomal RNA is filed under the name Aliivibrio fischeri. RNAcentral describes it as "partial 16S ribosomal RNA". The record is from RNAcentral. Lineage: Bacteria; Pseudomonadati; Pseudomonadota; Gammaproteobacteria; Vibrionales; Vibrionaceae.